GAGUUUGAUCCUGGUUCAGAUUGAACGCUGGCGGCAUGCUUUACACAUGCAAGUCGAACGGUAACAGGUCUUCGGAUGCUGACGAGUGGCGAACGGGUGAGUAAUACAUCGGAACGUGCCUAGUAGUGGGGGAUAACUACUCGAAAGAGUAGCUAAUACCGCAUGAGAUCUACGGAUGAAAGCAGGGGACCUUCGGGCCUUGUGCUACUAGAGCGGCUGAUGGCAGAUUAGGUAGUUGGUGGGGUAAAGGCUUACCAAGCCUGCGAUCUGUAGCUGGUCUGAGAGGACGACCAGCCACACUGGGACUGAGACACGGCCCAGACUCCUACGGGAGGCAGCAGUGGGGAAUUUUGGACAAUGGGCGAAAGCCUGAUCCAGCAAUGCCGCGUGCAGGAUGAAGGCCCUCGGGUUGUAAACUGCUUUUGUACGGAACGAAAAGCCUGGGGCUAAUAUCCCCGGGUCAUGACGGUACCGUAAGAAUAAGCACCGGCUAACUACGUGCCAGCAGCCGCGGUAAUAC
Molecule: ribosomal RNA, 520 nt
Filed under: uncultured Comamonas sp.
Lineage: Bacteria; Pseudomonadati; Pseudomonadota; Betaproteobacteria; Burkholderiales; Comamonadaceae
Description: bacterial SSU rRNA
Rfam family: Bacterial small subunit ribosomal RNA
Source: RNAcentral